UAGGGAAUCUUCCACAAUGGACGAAAGUCUGAUGGAGCAACGCCGCGUGAGUGAAGAAGGUUUUCGGAUCGUAAAGCUCUGUUGUUGGUGAAGGAGGAUAGAGGCAGUAACUGGUCUUUAUUUGACGGUAAUCAACCAGAAAGUCACGGCUAACUACGUGCCAC
Molecule: ribosomal RNA, 164 nt
Filed under: uncultured bacterium
Lineage: Bacteria
Description: partial 16S rRNA
Rfam family: Bacterial small subunit ribosomal RNA
Source: RNAcentral